This 378-nucleotide unclassified non-coding RNA is filed under the name uncultured Thermoleophilia bacterium. RNAcentral's name for it is "contains 16S-23S intergenic spacer region". Lineage: Bacteria; Bacillati; Actinomycetota; Thermoleophilia. The record is from RNAcentral.
UCCGGUUUGUCACCGGCAGUCCCCCAUGAGUCCCCGGCAUUACCCGCUGGCAACACGGGGCGGGGGUUGCGCUCGUUGCGGGACUUAACCCAACACCUCACGGCACGAGCUGACGACAGCCAUGCACCACCUGUGAAGGUGCCCCGAAGGGAGACCGUGUUUCCACGGCUGUCACCUACAUGUCAAGCCCAGGUAAGGUUCUUCGCGUUGCGUCGAAUUGAACCACAUGCUCCGCUGCUUGUGCGGGUCCCCGUCAAUUCCUUUGAGUUUUAGCCUUGCGGCCGUACUCCCCAGGCGGGGCACUUACCGCGUUAGCUCCGGCAUGGAAGGAGUCGACACCUCCCACACCUAGUGCCCAUCGUUUACGGCGUGGACUAC